GAUGAAUGCUGGCGGCGUGCCUAACACAUGCAAGUCGAGCGGCAGCGCGGGGUGCUUGCACCCUGUCGGCGAGCGGCGCACGGCUGAGUAACGCGUAUGAAUUUGCCCCAAAGUGAGGAAUAACUCCCCGAAAGGGUAGCUAAAGCCGCAUAUGGUCUUCGGAUUAAAGGAUUUGUCCGCUUUGGGAGAAGCCUGCGUGGGUUUAGGGUGUUGGUAGGGUAAUGGCCUACCAAGCCGACGACCCAUAGCUGGGCUGGGAGGAUGAUCAGCCAGACUGGAACUGCGACACAGUCCAGACUCCUACGGGAGGCAGCAGAGAGGAAUCUUCCACGAUGGGCGCAAGCCUGAUGGCGCAACGCCGCGUAAAGGAUGAAGGCGUUCGGGUUGUAAACUCGUUUUAUGAGUGAAGAAUAUGACGGUAACUCAUGAAUAAGCACCGGCUAACUACGUG
RNAcentral lists this ribosomal RNA (451 nucleotides) under uncultured bacterium. Its description in RNAcentral is "partial 16S ribosomal RNA". It matches the Rfam family "Bacterial small subunit ribosomal RNA", at positions 28 to 507 of the family's 1533-position model. The record is from RNAcentral.